GAUGAACGCUGGCGGCGUGUCUAAUACAUGCAAGGCGAACGAAACUUCCUGAUCACCGGGUGCUUGCACCCACCGAUAAAGAGUUGAGUGGCCAACGGGCGCGUAACACGUGGACAACCUGCCCAACAGAGGGGGAUAAUACUCGCAACCGGCUGCUACUCCCCCACAACCAUACUUACCGCAUGGUAACUAGGCAAAAGGUGGCUAUACUACCGCUUUUGGACGGCCCAGCGCCCCAUUGGCUAGUUGGUGGGGUAAAGGCUUACCAAGCCACUGCGUCGUAGCCGACUUGAGAGCUUGCUCGCCCACAUUGGGUCUGAGACACCGCCCCCACGCCUUCGGGAGGCCGCAGUAGGGAAUCUUCCCCCAUGGCCGCAAGCCUGAUCGAGCACCCCCGCGUGAGUGAAGAACGUCUUCGCUUCGUAAAACCCUGUUCUGAGCGCCGAUAGCCCGUGACACUCACUUUUCACGUUUCGCCCGUAUCCAACCAGAACGCCACGGCUACCUACUUC
This 512-nucleotide ribosomal RNA is filed under the name uncultured bacterium. Its description in RNAcentral is "partial 16S ribosomal RNA". It matches the Rfam family "Bacterial small subunit ribosomal RNA", at positions 28 to 507 of the family's 1533-position model. The record is from RNAcentral.